This 229-nucleotide long non-coding RNA is filed under the name Elaeis guineensis (African oil palm). RNAcentral describes it as "long non-coding RNA (EGUI_LNC056950)". The record is from RNAcentral. Lineage: Eukaryota; Viridiplantae; Streptophyta; Magnoliopsida; Arecales; Arecaceae.
GUCCUCUGACUCUCGAAGCCUCCUCCUCAAGACCUCGGACUCCGCCUCGGCAUCCUUGAUUGCCUGCUGCUCGUGGACCAACUAAACUUUCAGCCACCGUAAUUCGGCUUCCUCCCACCCAAGGGCUACAGACAGUUCCGCCAUAGUCCCCCUCAAGGAGCAAAGCUCGUCAGAACCUUGUGCAGGGAUAGGCUGGACACUCUCGGAUAACUGCCUCUGAAGGCGGGCA